CAAAAACUGUGAUUGCUUUUGC
RNAcentral lists this microRNA (22 nucleotides) under Callithrix jacchus (white-tufted-ear marmoset). RNAcentral's name for it is "cja-miR-548p". Its record names the gene cja-miR-548p. The record is from miRBase by way of RNAcentral. Lineage: Eukaryota; Metazoa; Chordata; Mammalia; Primates; Cebidae.